AAUAAAUCCACAUAAAAAUGAACACAGAUGUUAGGACUGACAUGUUGAAGUCGCUCCCCUUUAACGCAGGACCGUACAUGUAUAAUGUACGUGUAUUUCUGGUUCCCGUGUUGAAUUGUAUCGGUGGAGGCAGGCUUCGAGGAAGAAAAAAAAAAAGGAAAAAAAAUCUCAUUAUUAGUGCCAGGAAGAAAUCCUCUUUGCUCUGGGCUGCGUGUUGUGGGUGUUGGAGCAGUGGGGAGGUGGGGGUUGAAUAGAGCGUAGAGCUCUGUGUGUGUGUGUGUGUGUGUGUGUGUGUGGAAGGAGAAGAGAAUGGAAAUGCAGAGAGAGGACUGCGAGAGAGAUACUGGAGUCAGUCAACCUGAUCGCCAACAAAUUUAGUAGGAAAGAAAUCGGAAGCAAAGCGACGGCCGAGCUAUAACUCCACCCCGAGGAUGAAUGGUGCGGAAAACAAAAAAAAACAUCCGGGACUACAGGCGAAAAACACUAUGUCGGAUGAGAACGAAAGAUGGGUUCAAGCUGGCAGGGAGGCUGUAGCGACUCUUUACAAGCGUGAUGGCUGAUGUCUUAACAAGGUGUUCAGACACAACAAGCCACUGUCCUUCCAAAAUGGUUGAUGUUUUGAUGAUGGUCAUGGAGAGCACUGGAUUACAGAUCAGUCCACAAUCUUCCACAUGUAUUCAGCUGGGUUGAGAUUUGGUAUGGGCAGAGUCAUCCUACAGGAGACCACACCCAUCAAGAGAGAAAUGGUUCACCAUAGGAUAAAGGUGUUGAUUUACAGUGGCACUUCCCUUUAAGAGGACAAGCGGACCCAAACCAUGCCAGCCAAAUACAUUAACAUUUAAAUAAAUUUCCUAUUAGUGAGUUGAAGAGUUAAGGAAUGAGACACUGCUUAAUAUUAUUGGCAUAGAAAAGAUGUUUAAUGUUGUCCGGUCCACAUUUUUAUUCUGUCCUAGCAAACACACCUGGGUCAGGUUAUCAAGGCGUGUUAGGAGGUGGAACAGAAUGAAAAUGUGAACUGGUAAUUUAUCUGACUGCAUUAGGAUCCCAUGUCCCAUGUAAGUAAGCAUACCCAGCUGAGGUAUUUACAAUCCACAUGGCACCGCCUCUGCAAUCGCUUUUGUUUAAAGUUGCUGACUUAAUUUAUGGAGGGUAAACAGUGACAAAGUGGAGUUCCUGCAAGGUUCAGCUGAAAGAAAACGACAAGGGAUGACAGCAAUCUUCUGGCCUAAAUCUUCAUCUAAACCGCAGUGAUUGACCAGCGUCCCCAUGCCAACGAGCAUCGCAUUAUAGCUGUAAUCCAUUUUUGCAGAUGUAGAGUGGACAUCUGCAGCUGAUGCACUGCGAGACAGACAGAGGUACAGCGUAAUGUCUAAGGAUAUCUGGAUUUCACUGCUCACUUCACAGCGAGACUAAACAAACGUUUACUUCUGGUUUGCUUUGAAAGUGACACACAGUCUAUGCUGACAUUGUUCAGUAGUUUAGGGUCGUUUGAUAGUAAGUCCAAUUUAUCUAGACCUUAAAACCGUAGACUAUGCUUGAGCUUUUGCCCACCAUUCUCUGUAUUAUCAGGCUUCUACUUAUAAUAAAUACAACAGGCAACCAUUUACUGGUCAUGGUCUCUGCAUGGAAGGGAUAGCAGUACUCCCCCUCCUGUCAAUCUGCAUGACACUGACUAAUUUUGUACGUCUCUGAGCUCAUGUAUGUAUGUAAGUAUGUGUAAGAGGGAAGAUUGCACUUUCUUUCAGCUGUGUGCAGUUGCUCUGUGAUGUUCAAAAAGAUAUGGGUGCUGACUUCUUGUAGAUACUGUGGAAGAACAUUGGUUGCUGUGGUGUGAUUGGCAAGAGAUGGCUAGAGGGUGGCAAAUGUCAAAUGGCCAAAUUAGGAGAAAAUGUGGUUUAAAAAAGCAAUCAUGCAUGCCAAUCAGGGCUUAUUUUCAUGGCGUCAUAAUAGAUCAAGUAAUGUCAUUUGCUAUGUAAAUGGAAGCAGAAUUUUUGAUCAUGGGACAUUCUAUGGUUUAAUAUUCUGUCGGAGAAUAUAUCAUUCAUCCAACUUAGUUGUUUAAGCCAUUACUGUCGUAACCAUUUGUGAUUCAGCAAAACAAAAUGUCUUUUCCAAACCAAAACUUAGAAGACUGAGUGCAAAAACAAAACAAAACAAAACAAAAAAAGCCUGCAAAUUGUACUUUUUCAGUUCUAGCAGCUAGGCCAGGGGUGUGGACCCAAGGAUUUGCAUUUUCCCUCCUCUGACACACUGAAUUAAACUCAUUAAGAGCAAGAGCUGUGUCUCAAAUCAUAUAAAACAGAACUACAAACUGAGCAAUAAAAACAUAUAUAAUAUUAUACAUUGUAGAUUAUAGAUUCAGAGCAUUAGACAGUUUUUUUUUUAAUUCUUGCUCAUUACCUUAUCUUGUGUUCUUAAAUUGUUGGAAGAAAUGAAUGUUUCUUAAGUUUCUUUCUUUACUUUUGCACUUUAUCUACAAACAGCUUGUAAUGGAAGUCUUAUUCAUUCAUUCAUCAUCAGAAAGCUCUUUAUCCUGAUAAGGUUAUCAUGAUAAGGAUCCAGAGUCUAUCCUGGGAAUGGGAAUCUGGAUGGGACGCCAGAUCAUCACACAUUCGCACACUCAGGAGCAAUCCACCUUGUUUUCUGGGAGUUGGAGAAAACCGGAGAACCCAGAGGAAAACCACAUGAACAAGGGAAGGAAGAACAUGUUAAAUAUUUGGUCAGUAACUUAAGCUAAGCAUCAAACCAGGGACACUGAAGCUGUGAGGCAACAACGCUACCUUCUGCUGCCCCUGGAAGUCUUAUAUCUCUCAAAAUCUUGUCCACUAAUACACACCCAUAUCUGUACUUAUAUAUUUAACUGCAACUAUAUUAUCAUCUGUAUCACUUCCAGCUUUACAAUGCAGUUCCACCUUUAAAUGUUUGAAGGUUGAGUUUAGUAGGUCCGAUAAUACUAAACUACACUAAGUAAAAAAGUGAUUUGAUUUGGUUGUCCAAGAUGACUGCCAUAAAAUACAAUUGCGGCAUUGAGCUACAGUACACGGUGAAGUCUUGCUCAUGUUUAUACUACUAAAAAACACUCUGUCCUAAACUAUACUGGUAAGUUUGCAUCACUUUCCUCAAAAAUGGGCAUGUGUAUGUAAAAGACUACAUUUGAGGUAAAUUGAAAAUGGUGUAAAUUUGAUCCCCAAUACACGGUUCUAUUAACCCUAUGUUUACACUAGCAAGCAACAAGUCGCUCAUGUCGCAUGUAGUUUGUCUCUUGUGGGCAUGUAGCAACCACUACUGGUGUUGCUUAUGUUUGGUUGUGUUUGUUGUUGUUGUUGUUGCUGUUCCACUGAGGAAACAUAGACACCAAAAUCUAUAGCUUGAUUAAAAAACAUUUGUUUAAAAUGUAUUUAAGUUUGAUUUACAUGUUACAUGCUAGACUUCGUAUAUCGCAGAUAAGCUGUACUAGCUACACACACUCGCCAGAAGCCCCAACGAUCUUUCCUUCGUCCUUCCAAGCUUUAUUUUUCUUUGUAAUGUCUCUAUACACGUUUAACGAUAGGUUGACAGGUAUAUGACAGGAUAAGAAGAAACCACGGUAGUAAGUUUUUCUGAAACGUUUUCCAUACAUCAAAAUUGAAACAAGGAAUAAAGUUCUGAGCGGGGAAAUCAGGAAACAUGUGGCACAGGACUGGUCGCUUUUUGUUUGUUGCUUGCUAGCGUCAACAUAGGCUUAGUCAGCUAGCCGACGUCAAGUGAAUACUGUCACUGCUAUUUGCGGGGGUUUUUUACCGUAAUACAAAAAAAAAAAUUCUGCUUAAUUAUCAUGUACAGACCGCCACAAAAACAUGUUCUAUGUCUAUACUAGUCCGUUAUACAGACUUUUACGUGUUAGGCUAUAUCGUGGUAUAAAAUUACUUUGCGGUAAAUCAAGAACAUAACUCCGCAGUACCCUCACCCUCCGUGACUGGAAUCUGACACUUCUGACCCAGACCUAUAAGAUCAAAGAGCAUUGCGUCUCGCCACUUUUCUCCACAAACAGGACGUAUAGGCUAUUGAACACACCAUGCACCGAGGCUAAGAGAUGCAAAGCAUCUGAGACAUGAACACACUGAGCUGAACCUUAGCUGUAAUAUAAAUAGUCCUAUUCUGUGGUUAAUUUUUUUUUUUUUUUUUAGUACUGUAAUGACUCACACUGCAAGUCUCACAGGCGAGAAGAAACGAUAAUCUAGCAAAUGGAAGUCAAUCUGAUCUGAAUAAUUUAUAACUUUUUAACACAGAUGAGUGACACUGUAAUCUAUAUAUACCUGACAUAUGACACAUAUGAUGUGCAACCAUGUAUUGUUUUGG
This is a long non-coding RNA of Ictalurus punctatus (channel catfish), 4338 nucleotides long. The record is from Ensembl. Lineage: Eukaryota; Metazoa; Chordata; Actinopteri; Siluriformes; Ictaluridae.